Sorex fumeus (smoky shrew) is the source of this 207-nucleotide small nucleolar RNA. RefSeq annotates it as small nucleolar RNA U3. The transcript has a single exon. NCBI's taxonomy places the organism in Eukaryota, Metazoa, Chordata, Mammalia, Eulipotyphla, Soricidae. The record is from RefSeq and is a predicted model, not a curated record.
AAGACUAUACUUUCAGAGACUAUUUCUAUAGUUUAUUACUAGAGAAGUUUCUCUGAUCAUGUAGAGUACUUGCAACCACAAAGAGGGGCCAGAGAAUCCUCUCUCGAGCAUGAAGCCAGUUCUACUUUUGCACCUGCCUUUUACCAUUGACAACUGUUAUUGUCUUCCUUUGUAAGAGGGAGAGGGAGAGGAUGUAGUCUGAGUAGU